UACGUAGGGGGCGAGCGUUGUCCGGAUUUAUUGGGCGUAAAGAGCGUGUAGGCGGCCAGGUAGGUCUGCUGUGAAAACUCGAGGCUCAACCUCGAGACGUCGGCGGAAACCAUCUGGCUAGAGUCCGGAAGGGGAGAGUGGAAUUCCUGGUGUAGCGGUGAAAUGCGCAGAUAUCAGGAGGAACACCGAUGGCGAAGGCAGGUCUCUGGGCCACUACUGACGCUGAGAAGCGAAAGCAUGGGGAGCGAACAGG
RNAcentral lists this ribosomal RNA (253 nucleotides) under uncultured bacterium. RNAcentral's name for it is "partial 16S ribosomal RNA". It matches the Rfam family "Bacterial small subunit ribosomal RNA", at positions 524 to 776 of the family's 1533-position model. The record is from RNAcentral.